GAGGGUAGAGCUCAGUGGUAGAGUGCAUGCUUAGCAUGCACAAGGUCCUGGGUUCAAUACCCAGUGCCUCCA
RNAcentral lists this transfer RNA (72 nucleotides) under Camelus bactrianus (Bactrian camel). It matches the Rfam family "tRNA". From Rfam's summary of the family: Transfer RNA (tRNA) molecules are approximately 80 nucleotides in length. The record is from Rfam by way of RNAcentral. Lineage: Eukaryota; Metazoa; Chordata; Mammalia; Artiodactyla; Camelidae. RNAcentral also lists the same sequence under 2 other names.